AUUGAACGCUGGCGGCAUGCCUUACACAUGCAAGUCGAACGGUAACAGGUCUUCGGAUGCUGACGAGUGGCGAACGGGUGAGUAAUACAUCGGAACGUGCCUAGUAGUGGGGGAUAACUACUCGAAAGAGUGGCUAAUACCGCAUGAGAUCUACGGAUGAAAGCAGGGGAUCGCAAGACCUUGUGCUACUAGAGCGGCCGAUGGCAGAUUAGGUAGUUGGUGGGAUAAAAGCUUACCAAGCAGACGAUCUGUAGCUGGUCUGAGAGGACGAUCAGCCACACUGGGACUGGGACACGGCGCAGACUCCUGCGGGAGGCAGCAGUGGGGAAUUUUGGACAAUGGGCGCAAGCCUGAUCCAGCAAUGCCGCGUGCAGGAUGAAGGCCUUCGGGUUGUAAACUGCUUUUGUACGGAACGAAAAGCCCCGGGUUAAUACCCUGGGGUCAUGACGGUACCGUAAGAAUAAGCACCGGCUAACUACGUGCCAGCCGCCGCGGUAA
Molecule: ribosomal RNA, 498 nt
Filed under: uncultured bacterium
Lineage: Bacteria
Description: partial 16S ribosomal RNA
Rfam family: Bacterial small subunit ribosomal RNA
Source: RNAcentral